GUUUUAAGGAGCUUUGCCAAAACAAUUUCUUCAAUACACCAGAUUGACAAGCGAAAAUUGGAUGUAGCUGUUCCUCCCGGGAAAUGCAGCUGUUCCUCCCCAUCCAUGGUAUCUGAUCUUAGUAACUACAACAGUGGAAAUUAAAAUAUGCAUUUAUAUGGCAUUUUCUUGUCGUAUUUGUUUUUUCUUAUUAAUUCCUCGCAUUUCCCAUUUUCAAUGGGUUCAGUGUAUAAUUAGGUAUAAUGAGAAAUAUAUACAGGCGG
This 263-nucleotide small RNA is filed under the name Drosophila mojavensis. RNAcentral's name for it is "GI26359". The record is from RNAcentral. Lineage: Eukaryota; Metazoa; Arthropoda; Insecta; Diptera; Drosophilidae.